GUGCCAGCAGCCGCGGUAAUACGUAGGGUGCGAGCGUUAAUCGGAAUUACUGGGCGUAAAGCGUGCGUAGGCGGUUCGUUAAGUCAGCUGUGAAAGCCCCGGGCUCAACCUGGGAACUGCGGUUGAAACUGGCGAACUAGAAUCUGGCAGAGGGGGGUGGAAUUCCACGUGUAGCAGUGAAAUGCGUAGAGAUGUGGAGGAACACCGAUGGCGAAGGCAGCCCCCUGGGCUGAGAUUGACGCUCAGGCACGAAAGCGUGGGGAGCAAACAGGAUUAGAUACCCUGGUAGUCC
Molecule: ribosomal RNA, 292 nt
Filed under: uncultured bacterium
Lineage: Bacteria
Description: partial 16S ribosomal RNA
Rfam family: Bacterial small subunit ribosomal RNA
Source: RNAcentral